AUUGAACGCUGGCGGCAGGCCUAACACAUGCAAGUCGAGCGAGCGGCGGACGGGCGAGUAAUGUAUGGGGACUGCCCGAUAGAGGGGGAUAACUACUGGAAACGGUAGCUAAUACCGCAUACUAUCGGAUAACCCAUAUGGGAGUAGCUAGUAGGUGGGGUAAUGGCUCACCUAGGCGACGAUCCCUAGCUGGUUGGAGAGGAUGAUCAGCCACACUGAGACUGAGCCACGGCCCAGACUCCGACGGAGGCGGCAGUGGGGAGUAUUGGACAAUGGACGCAAGGCUGGUGCAGCCAUGCCACGUGUAUGAAGAAGGCACUAGGGUUGUAAAGUACUUUCAGUCGGAAGGCGUUACCGACAGAAGAAGCACCGGCUAACUCCGUGCCAGCAGCCGCGGUAAUUC
Molecule: ribosomal RNA, 403 nt
Filed under: uncultured bacterium
Lineage: Bacteria
Description: partial 16S ribosomal RNA
Rfam family: Bacterial small subunit ribosomal RNA
Source: RNAcentral